RNAcentral lists this ribosomal RNA (497 nucleotides) under uncultured bacterium. RNAcentral describes it as "partial 16S ribosomal RNA". It matches the Rfam family "Bacterial small subunit ribosomal RNA", at positions 28 to 507 of the family's 1533-position model. The record is from RNAcentral.
GAUGAACGCUGGCGGCGUGCCUAAUACAUGCAAGUCGAGCGAACAGACGAGGAGCUUGCUCCUCUGACGUUAGCGGCGGACGGGUGAGUAACACGUGGAUAACCUACCUAUAAGACUGGGAUAACUUCGGGAAACCGGAGCUAAUACCGGAUAAUAUAUUGAACCGCAUGGAUCAAUAGUGAAAGACGGUUUUGCUGUCACUUAUAGAUGGAUCCGCGCCGCAUUAGCUAGUUGGUAAGGUAACGGCUUACCAAGGCAACGAUGCGUAGCCGACCUGAGAGGGUGAUCGGCCACACUGGAACUGAGCCACGGUCCAGACUCCUACGGGAGGCAGCAGUAGGGAAUCUUCCGCAAUGGGCGAAAGCCUGACGGAGCAACGCCGCGUGAGUGAUGAAGGUCUUCGGAUCGUAAAACUCUGUUAUUAGGGAGGAACAAAUGUGUAAGUAACUAUGCACGUCUUGACGGUACCUAAUCAGAAAGCCACGGCUAACUACGUG